Molecule: unclassified non-coding RNA, 405 nt
Filed under: soil metagenome
Description: partial contains 5.8S ribosomal RNA, internal transcribed spacer 2, and large subunit ribosomal RNA
Rfam family: 5.8S ribosomal RNA (bases 1-121)
Source: RNAcentral
GAUGAAGAACGCAGCGAAAUGCGAUAAGUAAUGUGAAUUGCAGAAUUCAGUGAAUCAUCGAAUCUUUGAACGCACCUUGCGCCCUUUGGCCAUUCCGAAGGGCAUGCCUGUUUGAGUAUCAUGAACACCUCAACUCUUUAUGGUUUUCCAUGAUGAGCUUGGACUCUGGGGGUUUUGCUGGCUCAUAGUCGGCUCCUCUAAAAUGAAUCAGCUUACCAGUGUUUGGUGGGUAUCAUGGGUGUGAUAACUAUCUACGCUUGUGGUUUUUCCACCAGGUAACCUUCAGCAGUGGAGGUUCGCUGGAGCUCAUAGAUGUCUCUCCUCAGUGAGGACAGCCCUUUGAAUGUUUGAUCUCAAAUCAGGUAGGACUACCCGCUGAACUUAAGCAUAUCAAUAAGCGGAGGA